RNAcentral lists this ribosomal RNA (2794 nucleotides) under Klebsiella pneumoniae. RNAcentral's name for it is "partial 23S ribosomal RNA". It matches the Rfam family "Bacterial large subunit ribosomal RNA". Lineage: Bacteria; Pseudomonadati; Pseudomonadota; Gammaproteobacteria; Enterobacterales; Enterobacteriaceae. The record is from RNAcentral.
GGUUAAGCGACUAAGCGUACACGGUGGAUGCCCUGGCAGUCAGAGGCGAUGAAGGACGUGCUAAUCUGCGAAAAGCGUCGGUAAGGUGAUAUGAACCGUUACAGCCGGCGAUGUCCGAAUGGGGAAACCCAGUGCAAUUCGUUGCACUAUCGUUAACUGAAUACAUAGGUUAACGAGGCGAACCGGGGGAACUGAAACAUCUAAGUACCCCGAGGAAAAGAAAUCAACCGAGAUUCCCCCAGUAGCGGCGAGCGAACGGGGAGCAGCCCAGAGUCUGAAUCAGCUUGUGUGUUAGUGGAACGGUCUGGAAAGUCCGACGGUACAGGGUGAUAGUCCCGUACACCAAAAUGCACAGGUUGUGAACUCGAAGAGUAGGGCGGGACACGUGGUAUCCUGUCUGAAUAUGGGGGGACCAUCCUCCAAGGCUAAAUACUCCUGACUGACCGAUAGUGAACCAGUACCGUGAGGGAAAGGCGAAAAGAACCCCGGCGAGGGGAGUGAAAAAGAACCUGAAACCGUGUACGUACAAGCAGUGGGAGCACCUUCGGGUGUGACUGCGUACCUUUUGUAUAAUGGGUCAGCGACUUAUAUUCUGUAGCAAGGUUAACCGUAUAGGGGAGCCGCAGGGAAACCGAGUCUUAACUGGGCGUUAAGUUGCAGGGUAUAGACCCGAAACCCGGUGAUCUAGCCAUGGGCAGGUUGAAGGUUGGGUAACACUAACUGGAGGACCGAACCGACUAAUGUUGAAAAAUUAGCGGAUGACUUGUGGCUGGGGGUGAAAGGCCAAUCAAACCGGGAGAUAGCUGGUUCUCCCCGAAAGCUAUUUAGGUAGCGCCUCGUGAACUCAUCUUCGGGGGUAGAGCACUGUUUCGGCUAGGGGGUCAUCCCGACUUACCAACCCGAUGCAAACUACGAAUACCGAAGAAUGUUAUCACGGGAGACACACGGCGGGUGCUAACGUCCGUCGUGAAGAGGGAAACAACCCAGACCGCCAGCUAAGGUCCCAAAGUCAUGGUUAAGUGGGAAACGAUGUGGGAAGGCACAGACAGCCAGGAUGUUGGCUUAGAAGCAGCCAUCAUUUAAAGAAAGCGUAAUAGCUCACUGGUCGAGUCGGCCUGCGCGGAAGAUGUAACGGGGCUAAACCAUGCACCGAAGCUGCGGCAGCGACACUAUGUGUUGUUGGGUAGGGGAGCGUUCUGUAAGCCUGCGAAGGUGUGCUGUGAGGCAUGCUGGAGGUAUCAGAAGUGCGAAUGCUGACAUAAGUAACGAUAAAGCGGGUGAAAAGCCCGCUCGCCGGAAGACCAAGGGUUCCUGUCCAACGUUAAUCGGGGCAGGGUGAGUCGACCCCUAAGGCGAGGCCGAAAGGCGUAGUCGAUGGGAAACAGGUUAAUAUUCCUGUACUUGGUGUUACUGCGAAGGGGGGACGGAGAAGGCUAUGUUAGCCGGGCGACGGUUGUCCCGGUUUAAGCAUGUAGGCUGGUUAUCCAGGCAAAUCCGGAUAAUCAAGGCUGAGGUGUGAUGACGAGGCACUACGGUGCUGAAGUAACAAAUGCCCUGCUUCCAGGAAAAGCCUCUAAGCAUCAGGUAACAUCAAAUCGUACCCCAAACCGACACAGGUGGUCAGGUAGAGAAUACCAAGGCGCUUGAGAGAACUCGGGUGAAGGAACUAGGCAAAAUGGUGCCGUAACUUCGGGAGAAGGCACGCUGGUGUGUAGGUGAAGUCCCUGCGGAUGGAGCUGAGACCAGUCGAAGAUACCAGCUGGCUGCAACUGUUUAUUAAAAACACAGCACUGUGCAAACACGAAAGUGGACGUAUACGGUGUGACGCCUGCCCGGUGCCGGAAGGUUAAUUGAUGGGGUUAUCCGUAAGGAGAAGCUCUUGAUCGAAGCCCCGGUAAACGGCGGCCGUAACUAUAACGGUCCUAAGGUAGCGAAAUUCCUUGUCGGGUAAGUUCCGACCUGCACGAAUGGCGUAAUGAUGGCCAGGCUGUCUCCACCCGAGACUCAGUGAAAUUGAACUCGCUGUGAAGAUGCAGUGUACCCGCGGCAAGACGGAAAGACCCCGUGAACCUUUACUAUAGCUUGACACUGAACAUUGAGCCUUGAUGUGUAGGAUAGGUGGGAGGCUUUGAAGCGUGGACGCCAGUCUGCGUGGAGCCAACCUUGAAAUACCACCCUUUAAUGUUUGAUGUUCUAACGUUGGCCCCUGACCGGGGUUGCGGACAGUGUCUGGUGGGUAGUUUGACUGGGGCGGUCUCCUCCCAAAGCGUAACGGAGGAGCACGAAGGUUAGCUAAUCCUGGUCGGACAUCAGGAGGUUAGUGCAAUGGCAUAAGCUAGCUUGACUGCGAGCGUGACGGCGCGAGCAGGUGCGAAAGCAGGUCAUAGUGAUCCGGUGGUUCUGAAUGGAAGGGCCAUCGCUCAACGGAUAAAAGGUACUCCGGGGAUAACAGGCUGAUACCGCCCAAGAGUUCAUAUCGACGGCGGUGUUUGGCACCUCGAUGUCGGCUCAUCACAUCCUGGGGCUGAAGUAGGUCCCAAGGGUAUGGCUGUUCGCCAUUUAAAGUGGUACGCGAGCUGGGUUUAGAACGUCGUGAGACAGUUCGGUCCCUAUCUGCCGUGGGCGCUGGAGAAUUGAGGGGGGCUGCUCCUAGUACGAGAGGACCGGAGUGGACGCAUCACUGGUGUUCGGGUUGUCAUGCCAAUGGCACUGCCCGGUAGCUAAAUGCGGAAGAGAUAAGUGCUGAAAGCAUCUAAGCACGAAACUUGCCCCGAGAUGAGUUCUCCCUGAGACU